UACGAAGGAGGCUAGCGUUGCUCGGAAUCACUGGGCGUAAAGCGCACGUAGGCGGCUUGCUAAGUCAGGGGUGAAAUCCUGGAGCUCAACUCCAGAACUGCCUUUGAUACUGGCGACCUUGAGUCCGGGAGAGGUGAGUGGAACUGCGAGUGUAGAGGUGAAAUUCGUAGAUAUUCGCAAGAACACCAGUGGCGAAGGCGGCUCACUGGCCCGGUACUGACGCUGAGGUGCGAAAGCGUGGGGAGCAAACAGG
This 253-nucleotide ribosomal RNA is filed under the name uncultured bacterium. RNAcentral's name for it is "partial 16S ribosomal RNA". It matches the Rfam family "Bacterial small subunit ribosomal RNA", at positions 524 to 776 of the family's 1533-position model. The record is from RNAcentral.